Molecule: unclassified non-coding RNA, 350 nt
Filed under: soil metagenome
Description: partial contains 5.8S ribosomal RNA, internal transcribed spacer 2, and large subunit ribosomal RNA
Rfam family: 5.8S ribosomal RNA (bases 1-120)
Source: RNAcentral
GAUGAAGAACGCAGCGAAAUGCGAUAAGUAAUGCGAAUUGCAGAAUUCAGUGAGUCAUCGAAUCUUUGAACGCACAUUGCGCCCGCCAGUAUUCUGGCGGGCAUGCCUGUCCGAGCGUCAUUUCAACCCUCGAACCCCUCCGGGGGGUCGGCGUUGGGGAUCGGCCCUUUACGGGGCCGGCCCCGAAAUACAGUGGCGGUCUCGCCGCAGCCUCUCCUGCGCAGUAGUUUGCACACUCGCAUCGGGAGCGCGGCGCGUCCACAGCCGUUAAACACCCCAAACUUCUGAAAUGUUGACCUCGGAUCAGGUAGGAAUACCCGCUGAACUUAAGCAUAUCAAUAAGCGGAGGA